GGCGCACGGGUGAGUAUCGCGUUUGCAACCUACCCCUGACCGGGGGAUAGCCCGGAGAAAUUCGGAUUAACACCCCAUAACACCUUAAGAAGGCAUCUUUUUUUGGUUAAAACUCCGGUGGUCAGAGAUGGGCAUGCGUACCAUUAGCUAGUUGGUGAGGUAACGGCUCACCAAGGCUACGAUGGUUAGGGGGUCUGAGAGGAUGAUCCCCCACACUGGUACUGAGACACGGACCAGACUCCUACGGGAGGCAGCAGUGAGGAAUAUUGGGCAAUGGGCGCAAGCCUGACCCAGCCAUGCCGCGUGCAGGAUGAAGGCGCUAUGCGUUGUAAACUGCUUUUGUUCGGGAAGAAAUCCAUACUACGUGUAGGUGGUUGACGGUACCGAAUGAAUAAGCAUCGGCUAACUCCGUGCCAGCAGCCGCGGUAAUACGGAGGAUGCAAGCGUUAUCCGGAUUCAUUGGGUUUAAAGGGUGCGUAGGCGGAAUAUUAAGUCAGCGAUGAAAUCCUGCAGCUUAACUGUAGAACUGUCAUUGAUACUGGUAUUCUUGAAUGC
RNAcentral lists this ribosomal RNA (555 nucleotides) under uncultured Bacteroidota bacterium. RNAcentral's name for it is "bacterial SSU rRNA". It matches the Rfam family "Bacterial small subunit ribosomal RNA", at positions 97 to 649 of the family's 1533-position model. Lineage: Bacteria; Pseudomonadati; Bacteroidota. The record is from RNAcentral.